This 253-nucleotide ribosomal RNA is filed under the name uncultured bacterium. RNAcentral describes it as "partial 16S ribosomal RNA". It matches the Rfam family "Bacterial small subunit ribosomal RNA", at positions 524 to 776 of the family's 1533-position model. The record is from RNAcentral.
GACAGAGGGUGCAAACGUUGUUCGGAAUUACUGGGCGUAAAGCGCACGUAGGCGGUCUUUUAAGUCGGGGGUGAAAUCCUGGAGCUCAACUCCAGAACUGCCUUCGAUACUGGAAGACUCGAGUCCGGGAGAGGUGAGUGGAACUGCGAGUGUAGAGGUGAAAUUCGUAGAUAUUCGCAAGAACACCAGUGGCGAAGGCGGCUCACUGGCCCGGUACUGACGCUGAGGUGCGAAAGCGUGGGGAGCAAACAGG